AAACCACCGUUGAACGGGACGAGUAGUGGCCCGGCCCAGUACCAGAGAGCCCGGGGAAGCUGUGAACCGGGUACGGGCAGGCGACGAAAAUCACCCGUGAGGCGCCGGCUGAACGGCGGGGUUCCGGCCUUUGCCCAUUAAGCCCGGACGGUUGACCGCCGUUAUCGGUUAUCCAAGCGGGCGGGGUUUUACGACCCGCCUACCAGGGUGGUACCGCGGGUAUAUCCCCGUCCCUAGG
This 238-nucleotide non-coding RNA is filed under the name Desulfotomaculum sp. RNAcentral's name for it is "T-box sequence". It matches the Rfam family "T-box leader". From Rfam's summary of the family: Uncharged tRNA acts as the effector for transcription antitermination of genes in the T-box leader family. T-boxes are found upstream of many aminoacyl-tRNA synthetase genes and some amino acid biosynthetic genes usually in Gram-positive bacteria. Lineage: Bacteria; Bacillati; Bacillota; Clostridia; Eubacteriales; Desulfotomaculaceae. The record is from RNAcentral.